UUUAUCCGCAUCAUUUUGUUUCCUCAGUCAGUACUAUAUAAAUGUUUUAAACUAACAAAAGUAGUUUUACAGUUUCUUUUAAUGCUACUGUUUUAUAUAUCGUAGUAUAUAUGAAAAUGAUACGUGUGUUUGUUUUAUAAGCAUUUUCUUCCUAGGUUCAAAGGAGAGAACCUGGACAGGAACAAGAGUAUUUAUUUUCGCAUAGAGAACCUUGCCAACAAGUACAAUUGCACUUCUGCUCAACUAGCCCUAGCAUGGGUUCUCGGACAGGGGGAUGAUGUCGUACCUAUUCCCGGUAACUUCUUUCUUUCGAGUUUGUGAUUCAUGUAGUGCCUUGAAGAAGUAUAUAGAGUUUAAAAAACCCAGUGGAUAAAAUGAUAUUACCAGCGAUAUUACUUACUGUUAAGUUGCUUCAAUUUUCAGGGACAACUAAGAUGAAAAACCUUGAUGACAAUAUUGACUCCUUGAGGAUUAAACUUACAAAAGAGGAUCUGAAAGAAAUUUCUGACGCUGUGCCCAUAGAAGAGGUAGCAGGAAACAGAGACCCGGAAGGCUUUGAUAAAGCAUCGUGGAAGUUUGCAAACACACCUCCAAAAGACUGCAAGGUUUGAACUUAAAAUAGUUCUUGAUGCUGCCUAUCUUACUUGGGGCUGGGAUGCAAUACUUUAUUCAAAUAAUGGCAGAUAAAUGCCAAAUUAUCUGUACAAUCUACUACUUGGCUAUCUGCCUAUUUGAUGUUAAACUUUGAUUAUUAUGAUCUACUAUAUGUUUGGAAAUUUAGCAUGGCCAAUUUGUGAAAGGAAAAUACGCAUGUUUGAACUUUUCUAAGUUAAAGCUGAAUUCCAAGUUACUGUAAAAUCUUGCCAACUUGCUUUCCUUGAAAAUAAAGAUUAGAAAUAUCCAAAUUUUGGAUUGUAAUGAUUUUCCUGGAUUUUACUUCAUCAUAGUGUAGAUAUAUGUUGAAAUAUUUUCAGCCUUUUUGAGUUCCACGAAUGUGACAUGAAUGAAAUCUGUGAACCAUAUUUUAGCUCAAGCUGUUUCUCAACAAGACCUGGAGGACACUGGAUUGAAAAUAUAGUUUCUCAACAUACUACAUUGUCACUGCAACUUGAGUGGUUAAAUGAUAAAAGGUGAGUAUGUGUUGUUCAGAAAUAAGAAUAAUUGCAUAAAUUGUGAAGUUCACAAUACCAUUCAGGAGGCUAAAUUGACACAUUAAAAAACUUUCAAAUUCCUUCACCAACAAGGCACCAGUGGUCUUGUGGUAGAAUAAUACCCUGCCACGUAACAGACCCAGGUAUAGUAAUUAGCCCCACCUUCGAACACUUUUUAUUGUUGCCUUCUUUUGAUUAGUUCCAAAUCCUGCUUUAUUUUGUUAGUCCAUGGUACAAAGUACAAAACAGCAACACCAUUAACUCUCUUACGCCCUCCUUUAAUAAGAGUUAAGCUAAGCUACAAAGAGAGGAAAAGCUAACAGCUUUUCCAAAGAUGGCAGAAAAGAACAGAAUCCAAGUUCCAAGAGUGAAAUUUGGAUUUCCGAUUUGUAGUUUUCAUUUUUCUUUUUGUAUUUUUUUUCCUUCAAUGCUGAUAAUUUGUUUUCUCUGACUGUGUUUUUGUGCUUUCACAGGUUUCAAAGCUGGGCUUUGGAUGCAUGAGCCUGAGCGGAGGUUACAAUUCUCGGGUCUCUGAAGAGGAUGGCAUCUCAAUAAUGAAGCAUGCUUUCAACGAAGGAAUCACUUUCUUUGAUACUGCUGAUAGAUAUGGACCAUAUAUACUAAUGAAAUUCUUCUUAGAAAGGUAAUGAUUAUGAAAAUGGAAUAAAAUGAAGUUAUCUUAUCAUGGAAUAACAUUUUAAAAGAAAAUCCAAAAUAAAAAUAGGUUAUGUUUAUGCCAAAAUUUUAAAUAAAAAAAUAUAAAUUAGUAAUUAAAUUAACUUAACAAGGAUAAUGUUGCCGUAUUACACACAAAAAUAUAUUUUAUUUUGAUGAAUAUUUAACGUUUGUAAAAUAAAUUAAAUUAAUUAGGAGUAAUAUGGACUUCUUAUUAUAAAAUAACUUAAAUUGUUAGGGUAAGAGUUGAUUGUAGCAUUAUUAAAUUUAAAGGCGUAACUAGUAUUUCUAACUUAUGCUUGAGGAUGGAAUCUGUAAUUUUUCCAUGCAAAUAAGAAAUGUGUUUGUUUAAGGUAUUGGUAAAUAGCUACUCUUAGACAUUACUAAGAAAAUCAUAAGGUGGAAAUCAAAUCAUUGUUAAAAUUAUGUCAAUUUAUUUGGGGGGGAAAAAGUUCACUCCUUUCUAGUUUCUAGCCUUGAAGCAGUUGCCUAGGUUACAAGAUCAGCCACAAAGUUUGGGAUUACAGAAAUAGAUACCCCUGAGUAUGUACUCUGUUUUGUCGUGAAGCAAGCUUGAAGCACCUUGAUUUGAUUAUUAAUUGGUUUGACUUUCCUCUAAUCUUUUGGGUAAUUUCUAUAUAUGCUUUCACUAAAAACAAAUAAAUUUGCAAAGAAUACAUACAUAGAUAACUUUCUUUCAAAAUAAAAAUGAAAAAAAAAUGACGAAGAGAAAUUAUGAAUAUGAUGAUUCUUUUAAAAAAAAACUAUUAAUUGGUUUGACUUUCCUCUAAUAUUUUGGGUAAUUUCUAUAUAAGCUUUCACUAAAAACAAAUAAAUUUGCAAAGAAUACAUACAUAGAUAACUUUCUUUCAAAAUUUAAAAUAAAUAAAAAAUGACAAGGAGAAAUUAUGAAUAUGAUGAUUCUUUAAAUAAAAAAUUUUACUGAUUUUCUAACAGCACAAAAUGCUUGAGAGGAAGAGAUUCUCAUAAAUCAAAUGUGAAAGGAUUAUGUUACCAUAAUAUAAAUAUGAAAAUGAAUUUUUCAUUUCUACUUAGAGCCUUGGGCCCAAACAAUUUUUUUUUUCAAGUAUAAUACUUGAAUAGUUCCAACAAAUGAUCGGACUAAUGACAUACACAAUACUUGAAUUUUCAGUAUAGAUUUAUAUUGAUGCAACAAAAUUGAUUCUCAUCUUCAUAGGCUAAGAAAUACAAAUCCAUUACUCAACUAAAAUUAUGGCGCAGAAGUUUUUGUUUUUGUUAAGGUUAAAAAAUGAGCAUAAAAGUAUACAUUUAACUAAUAAAUAAUUAGAAAAUUGAUAAAAUUAUUAAUUUUUUUUAGAAAAUUGAUUGAACUAGUCUGCAACAUUAAGUUUCAACAUAUCGUCCAAGGAUAGCCUAGCCAAGUUGGUAGCAAGAGAUUAAAUGUUCCAAUUUAAGGGGAUAUUCAUAGAUGUAAUCUGAAACAAAAAUGAAAUAAAAGUAAAAAUAAGCAAAUAAUAAAGUAAAAUCAGAAUCGAAUAAGAAUGCUAAGUUUUUAAAGAGGAGAGAAAUUACAAGUUAAGACAAGUUCUUCUUUCUUUGCAAACACACCCCUAAAAGAUUGCUAGGUUUGAACUCAAAAUAUUUCUUGAUGCUGCCUUAGUAGCUAUCUAACGCUUGGGGUCGGGAUCAAUACUUUAUUCAAAUAAAUGCUAAAUUAUCAAUAAAUUCUACUACAUGACUCUCUGCCUAUUGGAUGGUAAUUUGUAAAUUUAAUUCUGCCGAUUUUGUGAACUGAAAUUAUCUUUCGUUGUUAACUAGAAGUUAUAGCCUCAAGUUGCAAUAAAAUUUUGGCAAAUAGAGAUUGCAAAAUCCACCAGGAAAAUGCAGGGUGGCUUUUAUGUAUUUUAAUUCAGAUUGCUAUGUUGUUGCUACAUAACUACCAUGUACCGAAUCAAAUGUAAACGCUUAAGGCUAUUUCUAGUAAAUAAUCUCCUAAAUUAAAAGAUGAAUUUGUUCCUACCUCCUUUUGGAGUUUUGGGUUCUGAUGCAGUGACUAUUCAAAUAUUGUUCUAAAAAAUUUAGAUACUUGACAUUCAAACUAUUAUGAAUAGUUAAUGGUCUUUACAUUGCUUGUAUUAUGAGGUCGGCAUGAGCCCUCAAUCAAAGAAGACACAAAGCCAUUGCAUUUGCAUUCAAGGGUAACAUAGGAGCCUAAAAUUUGCCACAAGAACAAAUAGAAACUACGGAAUAUACACUAUUGUGUUCAAAAUUCGUUCAAUUAAAAUAACGUUGUGGCACGUAUAUAAUUUAUGUUAUUAGAGAAAGUUUUUGAUGAGACUAACAUACCAUGUUAUCAUACGUUUAUCCAAUAGAAUUGUAACAUAUAUCCAUUUUGAAGUUGACCAACCAUGAAAGUGAGAGGAAACAAAAUUAAAACUUGGUGACACAAAAUAUAUUAUAUGGUCAAAUCGAGACUGUAAAUUUCUCUCCUAAGUUCUACCUGACAUUUUGCAAAGUCUAGGGGAUGUUUCUUAACUUUUAAAAUAUUUUGAACUUGUUUCCAAUUACACUGAACUUUGGGACACUUGUCAAAACGUUAUAAGUUCCUGAUUAAUCAUUGAUAACGAUAAAGAGCACGUGUCCCAGCUUAACACUUUUAGUCAUACGGAGCCGUCGAGUUGGAUAAGCCAAACCAGAAUCCUGUGUCUCAUUCUCCUCAUUGUUGACGUUAGAGUCAGCUGUCUCUCUACUUAUUGAAACUUGAAAGACACCCAAAACAAAGAAACCAAAACUACAGCUUCAAAAAUGGCAGAAGAGAAACUCCAAGUUCCAAGGGUGAAACUUGGUACCCAAGGCCUCGAGGUAAACUACCCAUAUGUAAUUUUUUUUUUAAAUCAAAUCCUGGAAAUUUGUUUUCUACAAUUGUGUGUUUUUCACGCUCUUACAGGUUUCAAAGUUGGGGCUUGGAUGCAUGAACCUGAGUGGAGGUUAUAGCUCUCCAGUCUCAGAAGAUGAUGGCAUCUCAAUGAUAAAACAUGCUUUCAGUAGAGGAAUCACUUUCUUUGAUACUGCUGAUAUGUACGGACAAAAUGCUAAUGAAAUUCUUCUGGGAAAGGUUAUGGUCAUUUCUUUGAAUUCUCUUACCUCUUAUAUAAUUCAGACAUAGGUCAAGUGGUAACUUAAGAAUCACAGUCCUGAUGAAAUAUGUUUGUUUAAGAAUUGGUGAAUAAUUACUUUUGUAUCAUAGAAGGAAAGCCUGGUCAGAUUUUUUUGAAUCUUAUUCCUUCGAUUUCAGGCCUUCAAGAUGUUGCCCAGAGAAAAGGUACAAAUAGCCACAAAGUUUGGGGUUGUAGGACUAAGAGAUAAUGGCGUGAUCGUGAAGGGCACCCCUGAUUACGUGCGCUCGUGUUGUGAAGCUAGCUUGAAGCGACUUGAUGUGGAUUACAUUGAUCUAUAUUAUCAACAUAGAGUGGACACAUCAGUCCCCAUAGAGGAAACCGUGAGCGAUUUGUUUUUUUUUUUUAUUUUUUUUUUUGGGCUAUCUGAAUUGUAGAGUUCUGUCCCAAAUUUCAAAAUUUAAAGAAUUAUUUUAGAAACUCUAUUACUUGUCAUGCUAUAGGUUGGCGAAAUGAAGAAGCUGGUGGAAGAGGGUAAAAUCAAGUACAUUGGAUUAUCUGAGGCCAGCCCAGACACAAUUAGGAGGGCACAUGCUGUUCAUCCCAUCACAGCUGUACAAAUGGAAUGGUCCCUCUGGACUCGUGAUAUUGAGGAAGAGAUAAUACCCCUCUGCAGGUUUGUUCUUCUUUUAGUGAACACUAUCCGCAUUAGUCUUUUCUUCUACAGGCCUUUGAAGGGUGUCUAAGGACCUAUUUAUUUGUUCCAAUCUAGUAUUUUGUACCUAAUGUUUGUAGAAUUUUUUAAAUUUAAUUGCAUGCAUAGAGUAGAUUAGAUUUUCUGUGCAAGUGUAUGCUAAUAAAUACAAGGCUGCCCUUCUGAUACAUUGAGGUGGGCAGGGAACUCGGCAUUGGAAUAGUUCCAUACAGUCCUCUUGGUCAUGGAUUUUUUGGUGGCAAAGCUGUUGUGGAGAGUGUACCUGCAGAUAGCUUUUUGGUACUUUUUCCAAUCAAUGUUUAUCCGCAUCAUUUUGUUUCGUAAGUCAGUACUAUAUAAAAUGUUUUAAACUAGCAAAAGUAGUUUUACAGUUUCUUUAACUGUUUUAUAUAUCGUCGUACAUAUGAAAAUGAUAUGUGUGUUUGUUUUAUAAGCAUUUUCUUCCUAGGUUCAAAGGAGAGAACCUGGACAGGAACAAGAGUAUUUAUUUUCGCAUAGAGAACCUUGCCAAAAAGUACAAUUGCACUUCUGCUCAACUAGCCCUAGCAUGGGUUCUUGGACAGGGGGAUGAUGUCGUACCUAUUCCCGGUAACUUCUUUCUUUCGAGUUUUUGAUUCAUGUAUUGCCUUGAAGAAGUAUAUAGAGUUUAAAAAACCCAGCGGAUAAAAUGAUAUUACCAGCAAUAUUACUUACUGUUAAGUUGCUUCAAUUUUCAGGGACAACUAAGAUUAAAAACCUUGAUGACAAUAUUGACUCCUUGAGGAUUAAACUUACAAAAGAGGAUCUGAAAGAAAUUUCUGACGCUGUGCCCGUAGAAGAGGUAGCAGGAGACAGAGACCCGGAAGGCUUUGAUAAAGCAUCGUGGAAGUUUGCAAACACACCUCCAAAAGACUGCAAGGUUUGAACUUAAAAUAGUUCUUGAUGCUGCCUAUCUUACUUGGAGCUGGGAUGCAAUAGUUUAUUCAAAUAAUGGCAGAUAAAUGCCAAAUUAUCUGUACAAUCUACGACUUGGCUAUCUGCCUAUUUGAUGUUAAACUUUGAUUAUUACGAUCUACUAUAUGUUUGGAAAUUUAGCAUGGCCAAUUUGUGAAAUGAAAAUAUGCAUGUUUGAACUUUUCUAAGUUAAAGCUGAAUUCCAAGUUACUAUAAAAGCUUGCCAACUCUCUUUCCUUGAAAAUAAAGAUUGGAAAUAUCCAAAUUUUGGAUUGUAACAAUUUGCUUGGAUUUUACUUCAUCAUUGUAUGGAUAUAUGUUGAAAAAUUUUCAGCGUUUUUGAGUUCCAUGAAUGGGACAUGAAUGAAAUCUAUGAACCAUAUCUUAGCUAGCAGUUUCUCAACAAGACCUGGAGGAUACUUUAUUGAAAAUAUAGUUUCUCAACAUAAUACAUUGUCACUGCAACUUGAGUGGUUAAAUGAUAAAAGGUGAAUAUGUGUUGUUCAGAAAUAAGAAUAAUUGCAUAAAUUGUGAAGUUAACAAUUGCUAUUUAGGAGGCUCAAUUGACACAUUGAUAAACUUUCUAAUUCCUUUAGCAACAAGGCACCAGUGGUCCAGCGGUAGAAACAACCCCCCACCCCCCGGCGGGCGGGUAUAGUAAUCAGCCCCAACGUCGAACAAUUUUUAUUGCUGCCUUCUUUUGAUUAGUUCCAAAUCCUGCUUUAUUUUGUUAGUCCAUGGUACAAAGUACAAAACAGCAACGGGUAAUUUUUAGGGAUCUCCCUUGAGGUUUAGCGUAUUAACACAUAGAGCGAAUAUAUCCACUUAAUUACAAGCACCUCCCCUUCCGUUAGUAUUUAAAUACGUAUGGUAUCAGUAUAUAAGGGUAAAUAUGUAAAAAUAUAUUUAAAAUUCAAAAAAAUUCAAAAGUGCAGCUUUAUGUUUCUUGAUGUUCUGAGAUAAUCUGAAAAAAUUGUAAGGGUUUAGAACGGUGGAGUAAUCGUCGUUUAAAUGAAUGAUAUGUCAUCUAUGCGUUGUAUGAGGUUAUAGCAACUAUCUAUCUGGUCACCGUUUUCAAGUCUCAAUUGGUAGUCCAAAGAAAAGAAUGAUUCUACAGUAGCAUUAAGUGUUAAUUGGACACAAAAAGAAGUGUUUUAACCACUUUAAGGAAAAUAAAUGUAAUUUUCUGUCCUAAAGAAAAGGUAAAUGUAUGCACUGUCAAUUAAUCUUUGGUCGACCAACAACAUCAUAAUUUCGCCUGGAUUGGUGGCGCACAAAGAAAGCCCUGAACUGGGGUCCUGACGACGGCCUAGAUCUCAUCGUCGACGAUGAUGGUGACGCCACAUUGUUGAUCCAUGAGGGAGUCAAAGCCGCUGUUGUUUGCGGUUAUGGUGAUGUUGGCAAGGGUUAUGCUGCUACUUUGAAGCAAGCCGGUGCUCGUGUAAUUGUUACCGAGAUUGAUAUGUACUACGAUGAUCUGUACGAGGAUGUUAGGUUUAAAUUUCGUAGGAGUGUGUGUUUGGGUGGUGGGAAAGUUGGGAGGAAAGAAACGGAUUGGUUUCAGUUGAUUGAAGACCAUUUGAGAUUUGAAUAAUGUUUUGGAUGGGGCUGUGUGAAUUAUUUUGUAUUUGAUGCAGUUUUAAAGUUUUGAUUGCUUUGCUGCAUCUUGUUAUCCUAUUGUUUACUGAUGAAUGAUUAAAAAAAAAAAGAAUUUUUAUUCCAGUUUCAUAUCUACAUAAAAAAUCAUUAUGAAAAAUUAAGGCCAAUUCGAUCAUUUAUAAUCAUUUUACAAUAUAAGGCUCAAAGCUCUCUGCUUGUGAUAUUUUAAGAUCAUUUUACCAUUGCAAUUGACAGUCUAAUCUUUUUUCUUAAAGUCCUGUUUUAUAAUUUAUUAUUAUGAUAUAAAGGAUACUUUUGUAAUUUCAAUAGUCUGUUAGUAGUCAAAUUAACUGAAUACUAACGACAAACGACUAGGGAGGUACUUGUAAUUACUUGGAUACAUUCUCUCUAUGUGUUAAUACGCUAAAUCUCAAAAGAGGUUCGUAAAAAUUACCCAAACAGCAACACCAGUAACUCUCUUACGCUCUCCUUUAAUAAGGGUUAAGCUAAGCUAACAGCUUUUCCAAAGAUGGCAGAAAAGAACAAAAUCCAAAUUCCAACAGUGAUAUUUGGAUUUCCGAUUUGCAGUUUCAAUUUUUUUUUUCUGUUUUUUUUUUCCUUUAAUGCUGAUAAUUCGUUUUCUCUAAUGAUGGCCAGUGGGCCGUGCCGGCACCAAACGUCGGCCCACACAGGCUCGUUGGCUGGCACCGCACGCCCCACUAAUUUGGUGGGCCGUGCCCACUUUUUUUAUAAGAGCCCGGCACAGCCCACCAACCUCUUUUUUUUUUUUUUUUGUCCACAUGUCCAACAUACUUAAAAAAACUUACGUGUCUGGCGUAUUUUAUUCAAGAGCACGUGUCCGGCAUACUUUUUUAAGUCCACCAGCCUAAUAAUAAUAAUAAUAAUAAUAAUUUCAUAAAUCAUAAUAAUAAUUAAUUAAAAAUAAAAUUACAAUUUUAGAAUAACAAUUACAUCUAAUUUUAUUUGAACUACUAAUAUUAUAAUUGCACAUAAACUCCAUUGAAUGAAAAUGUAAUUUUUAAUUUAUCAUAAAAAUAUUUUGUUCAUAAUUUUAUUUUUUUGUGUAUAAAUAUGAAAAAUAUUUCAUUCACAAAUGAAACAUAUCUCCAUUAACUAUUAACUAAGUUAUGAUUUCAUAAAUGAAAUAUUAAUGUCGUAAAAUUUUUUAUUUAUCAUUUAUAAAAUCAUGAUAUUUAUUUAUCCAUUUAAUAAAUUAUAAACAUAAAAAAAAUUAGAAUAUUUAUUUAAACUAGGACUUAAAUUAAUUUUAAAAAGCCUAUGCUAAAAAAAUAUAUUAAAAUUUUAAUUUCAAGAUAUUUAUAAAAUCAUGAUAUUUUAUAUUUAUUUUUCAUUAAAAUUUUUUAUUUUGAUAUAUUUUGACCCACAUGCUAUUGGUGGCCCACGGGCCGCGUGCUUAGCCCACUAAUGAAGCGUGCUUAUUACGUGCCUUUUCGCGUACCGUGCUUUGGCCCAUAUUUAAUCGUGCUGUGCUUUUAAGGCCCGCGUGCCUAAAAUUCUAGGCUCGGCACGGCCCACGUGCGUGUCAUGCCGUGCCUCGUGCCCUACCGAAACGUGCUCGUGUUGUGCCGUGCCUUGUGCCGCCCGGCCCAUUGGUCAUCUCUAAUUUUCUCUGACUGUGUUUUUUUGCUUUCACAGGUUUCAAAGCUGGAGUUUGAAUGCAUGAGCCUAAGUGGAGGUUACAGUUCUCUAGUCUCUGAAGAGGAUGGCAUCUCAAUAAGAAAGCAUGCUUUCAACAAAGGAAUCACUCUUUUUUUUUUUUUUUAACUAAUUAAGCAUCAUGUUACUGUAUUACAUAGACAUUUACAAUUGCUAUGACAGUAGAUCAUUAUACUGAUAUUUACAAUUAAAUAUAUAAUUGGGACUUAUAUUAUUACAUUAUUAAUUUUAUGAAAUACAUGCCAGACAAAUAAUCCUCACGAAAGAAUGAUGUCUUUACUCCACUCGCAUUUCAGAAGGGAGAAAUACUUCACAAAUAAUUUUCACAAAAUUAUGUUUAAUUGAGAGAGGUUGAGUUCAUGGAGACUCGAACCAUUGCCCUCAUAGUCAUGCUUAACUUUAAGGCCAAUGGUUCACCACUAGGCUAAAGCCUAAGUGGCAGGAACCACUUUCUUUGAUACUGCUUAGUGCUGAUAGAUAUGGACCUUACACUAACGAAAUUCUUCUUAGAAAGUUAAUAAUUAUGAAAAUGGCAUAAAAUGAAAUUAUCUUAUCAUGGAAUAACAUUUUAAAAGAAAAUCCAAAAUCCAAAUAGGUUAUAUUUAUGUUAAAAUUCUAAAUAAAAAAAAUCAUAAAUUAGUAACUAAAUUAACUUAAUAAGAAUAACAUUGUCGUAUUACACAAAAAAAAAAAUCAUUUUGAUGAAUAUUUAAUGUUUGUAAAAUAAAUUAAAUUGAUUAGGGUAAUAUGGACUUUUUAUUAUAAAAUAACCUAAAUUGUUAGGGAAAUAAUUAACUGUAGCAUUGUUAAAUUUAAAGGGGAAAGUAGUAUUUCUAACUUAUUGAGUUAUUUCCAUAAUAAUAACCUAAAUAUGUUUGUUUAAGGUUUUGGCAAAUAGCUACUCUUAGACAUUACUAAGAAUAUCUGAAGAUGAAAAUCAAAUCACUGUUAAAAUUACCCCUGAGAAGCCACGAAGUUUGGGACUACAGAAAUAGAUACCCCUGAGUAUGUGCUCUGCCUUGUUGUGAAGCAAGCUUGAAGCACCUUGAUUUGAUUAUUAAUUGGCUUGACUUCCCUCUAAUUUUGGAUAAUUUCCUUAUAUGCUUUUCACUAAAAACAAAUAAAUUUACAAAGAAUACAUGCAUAGAUAACUUUCUUUCAAAUUUAAAAUGAAAAAUAAAUUGCGAAAAGAAAUUGUGAAUCUGAUGAUUCUUUUAAUAAAAAAAUUUACUGAUUAUAUGGUCAAAUCGAGACUGUAAAUUUCUCUCCUAAGUUCUACCUGACAUUUUGCAAAGUCUAGGGGAUAUUUCUUAACUUUUAAAAUAUUUUGAACUUGUUUCCAAUUACACUGAACUUUGGGACACUUGUCAAAACUUUAUAAGUUCAUGAUUAAUCAUGAUAAAGAUAAAGAGCACGUGUCCCAGCUUAACACUUUUAGUCAUACGGAGCCUUCGACUUGGAGCCAAACCAGAAUCCUCUGUCUCAUUCUGCUCAUUGUUGACGUUAGAGUCAACUGUCUCUCUACUUAUUGAAACUUGAAAGACACCCAAAACAAAGAAACCAAAACUACAGCUUCAAAAAUGGCAGAAGAGAAACUCCAAGUUCCAAGAGUGAAACUUGGUACCCAAGGCCUCGAGGUAAACUACCCAUAUGUAAUUUUUUUUUUAAAAUCAAAUCCUGGAAAUUUGUUUUUCAUGGUCUUACAGGUUUCAAAGUUGGGGCUUGGAUGCAUGAACCUGAGUUCUGGUUAUAGCUCUCCAGUCUCAGAAGAGGAUGGCAUCUCCAUGAUAAAACAUGCUUUCAGUAAAGGAAUCACUUUCUUUGAUACUGCUGAUGUGUACGGACAAAAUGCUAAUGAAACUCUUCUGGGAAAGGUUAUGGUCAUUUCUUUGAAUUCUCUUACUUCUUAUAUAAUUCAGACAUAGGUCAAGUGGUAACUUAGGAACCACAGUCCUGAUGAAAUAUGUUUGUUUAGGAAUUGGUGAAUAAUUACUUUUGUAUCAUAGAAGGGAAACCUUGUCAGAAUUUUUAGAAUUUUAUUGAAUUAAAAAAAAAAAAAAAGAGUACUCCUUCGAUUUCAGGCCUUCAAGAUGUUGCCCAGAGAAAAGGUACAAAUAGCCACAAAGUUUGGGGUUGUAGGACUAAGAGAUAAUGGCGUGAUCGUGAAGGGCACCCCUGAUUACGUGCGCUCGUGUUGUGAAGCUAGCUUGAAGCGACUUGAUGUGGAUUACAUUGAUUUGUAUUAUCAACAUAGAGUGGACAUCGGUCCCUAUCGAGGAAACCAUGAGUGAUAUUUUUUCUCCCGGGCUAACUAUCUGAAUCGUAAAGUUCUGUCUUAAAUUACAAUAUUUAAAGAGUUUUUUAGAAACUAUAUUCCUUGUCAUGUUAUAGAUUGGCGAAAUGAAGAAGCUGGUGGAGGAGGGUAAAAUCAAGUACAUUGGUUUGUCUGAGGCUAGCCCAGACACAAUUAGGAGAGCACAUGGUGUUCAUCCCAUCACAGCUGUACAAAUGGAAUGGUCCCUCUGGACUCGUGAUAUCGAGGAAGAGAUAAUACCCCUCUGCAGGUUUGUUCUUCUUUCAGUGAACACUAUCCACAUUAGUCUUCUCUUUUACAGUCCUUUGAAGAGUGUCUAAGGACCUAUUUACCUUUUCCAAUCUAGUAUUUUGUGUCUAAUGUCUGUAGAAUUUUAAAAAAAAUAAUUGCUUGCUUAGAAUAGAUUAGAUUUUCUGUGCAAGUAUAUGCUAAUAUAUACAAGGCUGCUUUUCUUAUACAUUGAAGUGGGCAGGGAACUUGGCAUUGGAAUUGUUCCAUACAGCCCUCUUGGUCGUGGGUUUUUCGGUGGCAAAGCUGUUGUGGAAAGUGUACCCGCAGAUAGCGUUUUGGUACUUUUUUCAUAAAUGUUUAUCCACAUCAAUUUGUUUCCUAUGUAGUGUAUAAAUGUUUUAAAAUAGCAACAGUAGUUUCCAGUUUCCUUUAAUGCUAAUGUUUUAUAUAUCAUAAUACAUAUUAAAAUGAUGCAUAUGUUUGUUUUAUAAGCAUUUUUUUCCUCGGUACAAAGGAGAGAACCUGGACAGGAACAAGAAUAUUUAUUUUCGCAUAGAGAAUCUUGCCAAAAAGUACAAAUGCACUUCUGCUCAACUAGCCCUAGCAUGGGUUCUUGGACAGGGGGAUGAUGUCGUACCUAUUCCUGGUAACUUACUUUCUUUUGAGUUUGUGAUUCAUGUAGUGCCUUGAAGAAGUAUAUAGAGUUUAAAAAACCCAGCUGAUAAAAAUGAUAUUACCAGCAAUGUUACUUACUGUUAAUUUGCUUCAAUUUUCAGGGACAACUAAGAUUAAAAACCUUGAUGACAAUAUUGACUCCUUGAGGAUUAAACUUACAAAAGAGGAUGUGAAAGAAAUUUCUGACGCUGUGCCCAUAGAAGAGGUAGCAGGAGACAGAGACCCGGAAGGCUUUGAUAAAGCAUCGUGGAAGUUUGCAAGCACACCUCCAAAAGACUGCAAGGUUUGAACUUGAAAUAGUUCUGGAUGCUGCCUAUCUUACUUGGGGCUGGGAUGCAAUACUUUAUUCAAACAAUGGCAGAUAAAUGCCAAAUUAUCUGUACAAUCUACUACAUGGCUUUCUGCGUAUUUGAUGUUAAACUUUAGUCAUUAUGAUAUACCGUAUGUUUGGAAAUUUAGCAUGGCCAAUUUGUGAAAUGAGAAUUUCAAGUUUCAAUUUUGUUAAGUUACGACCUGAAUUCAAAGUUGCUAUAAAAUUUUCCCAACUCUGUUUCUUGGAAGAUAAAGAUUGUAAGUAUCAAAAUUUGGAUUUGAUAGACAAUUU
RNAcentral lists this long non-coding RNA (13693 nucleotides) under Citrus maxima (pomelo). Its description in RNAcentral is "long non-coding RNA (CMAX_LNC001493)". The record is from RNAcentral. Lineage: Eukaryota; Viridiplantae; Streptophyta; Magnoliopsida; Sapindales; Rutaceae.